This 226-nucleotide long non-coding RNA is filed under the name Gallus gallus (chicken). Lineage: Eukaryota; Metazoa; Chordata; Aves; Galliformes; Phasianidae. The record is from RNAcentral.
CUGGAACUCCUCCAGGGACAGCUUCCCAUCAUCAUUUUUGUCAGCUCUUCUAAAAAUAUCGAGGAUGACGGAGGUGCCCUUCCUCUGCGCGGAGGCUCCCGAGGUGAGCAGCUCCCUGUCGGCGACGCCCUUGUCGCUCAUCCUGGCCCCGACCCAGCGCAGCAGCCCGUCCAGCCCGCGCAGCGCCGGCGCCGGCUUCCGCAGCAGCCUGUGCACGCCGGCCCGG